CUACCACUUGUUGCAGUGUCCUUUCCAUUUUCUCCCAUUUCCUUCAUUUUCUUCCCUCCACUUUUCAUAUUUCCCUUCUACUUUCCUUCCCCUUUUCUUCACAUUUCCACCUACCUUUUCUUUUCAAACAAAAAAACUAUCACAAAAUCUUACAAAACAAAAAAUUUUAUUUGUUGGUGACCGAUUUAUCCAUAAAUAUACUGAUACAUAUAUAUAUAUACUGUAUCCGGAGUCUCGAAUUGGAAUCAAUUAAAAGGCGGAGAAGUUCAUCAUUGCAACGAUGGAUUUUAAGUUUUCA
This 298-nucleotide long non-coding RNA is filed under the name Ricinus communis (castor bean). RNAcentral describes it as "long non-coding RNA (RCOM_LNC000878)". The record is from RNAcentral. Lineage: Eukaryota; Viridiplantae; Streptophyta; Magnoliopsida; Malpighiales; Euphorbiaceae.